Astatotilapia calliptera (eastern happy) is the source of this 2619-nucleotide long non-coding RNA. The record is from Ensembl. Lineage: Eukaryota; Metazoa; Chordata; Actinopteri; Cichliformes; Cichlidae.
GUUACUUUGUUGAAAUAAAUGGAUUACACUGCGGUACUUUUGUUCCAGGUGGCAGCGUUACGGUUGCCAUGGUUACAGGGCGACGCUCUCUCUCUCUGUCUGCGACUGUGUGUUUCCUGGGUGAGAGAGCGCCUUUUCGUUGUUGUUGUUGUGCUAAGCUAACAGGCAGAAUGCUACAAGCAUAGCUCUAAAGAAUGUAGCAUCAUGGGCAGUAUAGUUCGUGUUGCAGGGAGAAUGGACUGCCAUACACGUUAUGUGUCUGUGAGCGCGAGGAGGGAGAAAAAGGCGAGUGGAAAGGUACGAGUUGUCGUCGAGGAAAAACGGGAGCUGGAAACAUGUAAAUAUAACUAGAAAGUGCAUUUUCUGAAGAAACUGCAGUGUGAAUGCUUGAAUCUGAAUGUAUGCACUGAAAUGAAUUAAUUGCUGAAUUUUGAGUUAAAAAUAUUGAAUGAGAUUAAAAAAAAAACAAAAAAAAAAAAAAUGAAUUUAACCUGAAAACAAAAGUGCUGAACUGCUAAAAGCUGAAGGUUACACAGAAGAAGGAGUUGGAAAAAAACUGAAAAUGUUUUAAAUGUAAAUUAGAAAACCCUAAGAAAUGAGAAAAGAACAUUUAGAGUCAGAAAACAUCUGAAUGAAUAUUAAAAGGUCAUAUUCUUUGAAUCACUGAAUGACUCAAAUGUGAUCCCUCCACUUUGAUCCACACAGUUUAAAAAGUUUAAAUGCCUGAGCUUUGAAAGAUACGGUGUUGGAAAGAGAACAAUAAUGGCGACAAUUUGAGGGUAAAAUGAUGGCUGUAACACUGUGGACACAGCAGCAGUUGAAAGAGAAGUGCUUAAGAUGAAUCUUGGCAGAGUGAGAGAGAGAGCUCGUUAAGCAGGCAGGUGUGAGCCUGGUUGCUAUAGUGACCGCACCCAAUGGCUCCAUACACACGUACACAGACAUGCGCCUCACUUUUGCUGCUUAAAAUGAACAGAAAAGUCAGGCCGAAACAAAUCGUUCCCAAAUGAAAAGUAAAAGUCGUAUUGACAAAAUUCUUUCACCGUGAGCGACAGCAGCUUCUAGUCUACCUAAUUCUCAGUUUUCAUGUCUGUGGAGUUUAUUAUAUGGACGUGGUGACAGUGGAAAGACCCAAUGCUCUUCUGAUUUUCAAACGAACCUUCUGAGCCAUUUUAACAUUAGAGUCUAUGGAAGAGUUGGAGGGAGGAGGCUGUGCAUUGGUGACAUUUACGAAAGAACCAUAACACCUAGGACAAUAGUAAACACAUUGGAUGAAAGAGGACAGCGAUGGCUACGUUUUGAGGGUAAAAUCAUACCUGUAGAGCAAACGCUGCGGACACAGCAGCAGUUUUAAAAAAGAUUUUAAGAUUAAUUUUUUUGCUCCUCUCACUCUAGCAGUUGAGCUGCCUCACUCUAGCCCCAACAUUCCGUCCCAUACACACCCAUUAUAAACUCUGAAACGGGUGAAAAAACAUCAUGAAACUUAAACUGGAACUGAAGAAAAAGUAUAAUAGAUAUUGAAAAGAUAAAUACAAGUUGAAUAGUUGAAUGUCUUGUCUUCGUUUUAAAGUUUGAAUGGUGGCUCUAUGUCAAUGUAUGUGGAAGUAGAUACAGUUUAAAGAGGAGGAAGUUGAAUGAGAAUUUGAAGGGUCUCCCCAUUGAAAUACAUUAUAAAUUUUUGUUGAAAAAAGUUGAAUAAAAUUAAAAAUAUAAAUGUUAAAAAUGAGAAAAAUAGAAGCAAUGUUGUCCAAAAGAAUAGGAAUCUAACGGUGUUUGAAUGGUUUUUCUAAGUUGAACGGUUUUGAAGGAGUAGGCUUUCAAAAAACGUACGGAAUAGAUAAUAAUAAAAUAGAACUAGAAAGUGCAUUUUCUGAAGAAACUGCAGUGUGAAUGCUUGAAUCUGAAUGUAUGCAUUGAAAUGAAAUAAUUACUGAAUUUAAGUUAAAAAUUUUGAAUGAGAUAAAAAAAAAACAACCCGAAUUUAACCUGAAAACAAAAGUGCUGAACUGCUAAAAGCUGAAGGUUACACAGAAGAAGGAGUUGGAAAAAAACUGAAAAUGUUUUAAAUGUAAAUUAGAAAACCCUAAGAAAUGAGAAAAGAACAUUUAGAGUCAGAAAACAUCUGAAUGAAUAUUAAAAGGUCAUAUUCUUUGAAUCACUGAAUGACUCAAAUGUGAUCCCUCCACUUUGAUCCACACAGUUUAAAAAGUUUAAAUGCCUGAGCUUUGAAAGAUACGGUGUUGGAAAGAGAACAAUAAUGGCGACAAUUUGAGGGUAAAAUGAUGGCUGUAACACUGUGGACACAGCAGCAGUUGAAAGAGAAGUGUUUAAGAUGAAUCUUGGCACAGUGGCAGGCAGAGCUCGUUAAGCAGGCAGGUGUGAGCCUGGUUGCUAUAGUGACCGCACCCAAUGGCUCCAUACACACGUACACAGACAUGCGCCUCACUUUUGCUGCUUAAAAUGAACAGAAAAGUCAGGCCGAAACAAAUCGUUCCCAAAUGAAAAGUAAAAGUCGUAUUGACGAAAUUCUUUCACCGUGAGCGACAGCAAUGUCUAGUCUACCUAAUUCUCAGUUUUCAUGCCUGUGGAGCUUAUUAUAUGGACGUGGUGACAGUGGAAAGG